CCUUCUGCAGUAUUCAACACAAAUUUAUAAUCAUAAAUGUACCUUGUUAUCGAUAAGGGGAGAAUCGUCAGCAAACCAUGUAUCCUGCCUCUCGGAUUGGCAAUGAGCGAAGCAAGAGUUUAUGAACAACCCACUUUGUGUUGAGGCACCGAAGCCUUUAAUAGCAUUUAGCAUAUCAUUUCUGAAAUCUUGUAGAAAUUGAAUUUGUGAUGCAGAACAUUUUUUGUAAUCACGUUUACAAUCAUGCCACAACCCAUGAGGAUCGGCUACUGGAGGAGCCAAACUGGAUUGAAUCUGCCAGAAAUCAUAGGCAGCAUUUAGAAGAAAUAAUGGAGUCUUGAUAUUGCCGAUCAAAUUCUGAGGAAAGAAGCAAGAGGUUGGAUCAAGUUUGUUGGUACAAUUACUUGGUAACAUCUUCUGAAGACCCUGUACGCUUACUACGCCUUUAAAAACAUCUCUAAGUGCGUGCCCACCAGAUACAUCAGUUGCAUCCAUAAAUAAUCCGGCAUCACUUAGGCACUUCACUUUGGUACUACUUGGGAACAGAGUGCGGAACUCAUCGCAAUGCAAUAUUGAAGCUAGACCACCAGCAGAACAUCCAGAGAGUAGAGCCUGCUGGGCAUUUUGCAUUCCUUUCGACAUUAACUCCGCCAUUGCUGCUUCCCAUAUACGUUGACCUCUAAAUUGCAGUUGUGCAUCCUUAUUUUCACUGUCCCCUGUAAAGGAGGCCCCAUCGCAGUAACGAACUUUUACUCUAUUCCAGUUAAAAAAAUCUGGAUUUUCUUCAGCCUUGUUACUCAGAAUCCCAGUAAAUUGAAUCUGUUUCUCCAUGAAUUUUGAUGAGCCACGCCUGGUCGUUUUGCGGAAAACACAAUUUCUGACGGUGUUACACCAUCCUCCACCCUCCAAUUGAAUGAGCCAACUGUUUGCCCCUGACCCAGAACCAGGAUGUAUGUGAUAACCUGGUAGAGUUCCAUCCAGACACACAGCUCCUUUAGCAGCAGCUCCCUGAAUGAGGGUAAGAGCAAUCAAAAGAGGAGUUGGAGUAAUGGCACCAUCACCAGAAGAGGUUUUCAUGAAAAUGGAAUCUUCAAAUUCAUGUGAAUCUACCCAUUUGCUAAGUACCAAAAACACAACAAAAACUACACCCCAAAACCCCCUCAG
This 1164-nucleotide unclassified non-coding RNA is filed under the name Hevea brasiliensis (rubber tree). The record is from RNAcentral. Lineage: Eukaryota; Viridiplantae; Streptophyta; Magnoliopsida; Malpighiales; Euphorbiaceae.